This 526-nucleotide ribosomal RNA is filed under the name Camera thoracica. RNAcentral describes it as "partial 16S large subunit ribosomal RNA". The stretch from base 396 to 526 matches the Rfam family "Archaeal large subunit ribosomal RNA", at positions 2542 to 2672 of the family's 2987-position model. Lineage: Eukaryota; Metazoa; Arthropoda; Insecta; Hymenoptera; Ichneumonidae. The record is from RNAcentral.
AAACAUGUCUUUUUGAAUAAAUAAUUUAAAGUCAAAUCUGCUCCAUGAAUAUUAAAUAUAUUAAAUAGCUGCAGUAUUUUAACUGUACUAAGGUAGCAUAAUCAAUAGUUUUUUAAUUAAAAGCUGGAAUGAAUGAUUUAAUAAGGUAAAUAUUGUCUCAAGUUUAAUGAAAUUAGAAUUUUUUUUUUAGUAAAAAUACUAAAGUAAUUUUAAAAGACGAGAAGACCCUAUAGAUUUUUAUAAUUUUUAUUAUUAUAAAAUUAUAAGAAUUUUUAUUAUUAUAAAAAUUAUUUGAUUGGGGAAAUUAUUAAAUUAAUUAAAUUUUAUAUUUUAUUAAACAAUAAUUUUUGAAUUUUUGAUCUAAAAUAUUAAAUAAAAGAAUAAAUUACCUUAGGGAUAACAGCGUAAUUUUUUUGGAGAGAUCUUAUUGAUAAAAAAGUUUGCGACCUCGAUGUUGAAUUAAGAUAAAAUUUUAAUGAAGAAGUUAAAAAUUUUUGGUCUGUUCGACCAUUAAAAUCUUACGUGA